UACAGAGGGGGCGAGCGUUGUUCGGAAUUACUGGGCGUAAAGGGCGCGUAGGCGGCCCGCUAAGUCGAACGUGAAAUCCCCAGGCUCAACCUGGGAACUGCGUCCGAUACUGGCAGGCUUGAGUCCGGGAGAGGGAUGUGGAAUUCCAGGUGUAGCGGUGAAAUGCGUAGAUAUGACAUAGAACACCAAUUGCGAAGGCAGCUGGCUACGCAUAUAUUGACACUGAGGCACGAAAGCGUGGGGAUCAAACAGG
RNAcentral lists this ribosomal RNA (253 nucleotides) under uncultured bacterium. RNAcentral describes it as "partial 16S ribosomal RNA". It matches the Rfam family "Bacterial small subunit ribosomal RNA", at positions 524 to 776 of the family's 1533-position model. The record is from RNAcentral.